CUUAUAUAUAUACAUACAGUUGUACAGACACAAGUUAUCUCAAUAGUGUUCAUCAUGAGUGUUGUGGAGAGAGACAUAGAUGAUCUGCCCAGGAAUCCAGCUAACUACACCGCCUUGACGCCGCUAUGGUUUCUGGAGCGAUCCGCGCUUGUCCACCCGAACCAAAAUUCGCUGAUUUAUGGAUCGGUAAGGUUCACGUGGAGCCAAACUUACCGACGGUGUCGCCAGCUGGCCUCCGCCCUCAACAAGCGUGCCGUCACCUUUGGCAGCACUGUUGCAGUUAUUGCGCCAAACAUCCCAGCCUUGUUUGAAGCUCAUUUUGGCAUUCCUAUGUCUGGUGCCGUAUUAAAUGCUGUCAAUAUCCGUCUAAAUGCGGAAGCUAUUGCAUUUCUUUUGGGACAUUCACAGUCUGAUGUUAUAAUGGUGGAUCAAGAGUUCUAUUCGUUGGCAGAGGAAGCAUCGAAAAUUAUAGCAGACAAAAGCGAGGGAAAACUUAAACCUCCAACUUUGAUUGUUAUUUCUGAUGACAAUUGUGAUCCAAAGUCACUCCAAUAUGCACUGGGAAGAGGAGCCAUUGAAUACGAAAAGUUUCUUGAAACUGGUGAUCCGGACUUUGCAUGGAAACCGCCUGAGGAUGAAUGGCAUAGCAUUGCUCUGGGUUAUACCUCUGGUACAACAGCUAGUCCUAAAGGAGUAGUCUUGCAUCAUCGAGGGGCAUAUCUCAUGGCUCUGAGUAAUCUUGUUAUAUGGGAAAUUAAAGAAGGAGCUGUUUACUUAUGGACUUUGCCCAUGUUCCACUGUAAUGGUUGGUGUUUCCCUUGGACUCUUGCAGCACUUUGUGUUGCAAGCAUAUGCCUCAGACAGGUCACAGCUAAGGGGGUAUAUUCAGCUAUAGCUAAUCUUGGUGUCACCCAUUUUUGUGCUGCUCCUGUGGUUCUUAAUAACAUAGUAAAUGCAUCCAAAGAAGACACCGUCCUUCCCCUCCCUCGUGUCGUCCAUGUAAUGACAGCAGGGGCCGCUCCACCACCUUUUGUUCUCUCUGCAAUGUCAAAACGUGGCUUUAAGGUUACACACACUUAUGGGCUUUCUGAAACAUAUGGUCCCUCUACUGUAUGUGCAUGGAAGCCCGAGUGGGACUUGCUGCCUCCUGAAGACCAAGCCCGUAUGAAUGCAAGACAAGGGGUCCGAUACAUUGGCCUUGAAGGUCUAGAAGUAGUUAAUACUCAAAACAUGAGGCCUGUGCCUACUGAUGGGGCAACGGUUGGAGAAAUUGUGUUUAGGGGUAACGUUGUAAUGAAGGGCUAUCUUAAGAACCCUAAAGCAAACAAAGAGACUUUUGCCAAUGGUUGGUAUCACUCUGGUGAUCUGGCUGUGAAGCAUCCAGAUGGUUAUAUCGAAAUCAAAGACAGAUCCAAAGAUAUAAUCAUAUCAGGAGGUGAAAAUAUUAGCAGCGUCGAGGUAGAGAACGUUCUGUACCAGCAUCCAGCAAUUCUUGAAGUUUCGGUGGUGGCCCGGCCAGACGAGCGAUGGGGGGAAUCACCUUGUGCAUUUGUGACAUUGAAGUCCAAUGUCCAUGCAUCUAAUCAGCAACAACUCACAGAAGAUAUAAUGAAGUUCAGUCGAUCAAAGAUGCCCGCAUACUGGGUUCCAAAAUCAGUAGUCUUUGGGUCAUUGCCAAAAACGGCAACAGGAAAGAUACAGAAGCAUGUGUUGAGGGCCAAGGCAAAGGAGAUGGGACCAGUGAAGAAGAGUAGGCUAUAAAAUGCUAAAUGCUGCUUGAAACAACAUAUAUAUUCACAAUGCCAUCUUAUAGCCUUUCUGUUGAUCCUUUUAGCUAAGGAAAGGGAGAGCGUACGGCUAUUCCCAUUUAGGUGCUGCAAACGUAGUCGCAAACGAGUACGUGCCUCAAGCGGAAGCCGGAGGAUAAGUUAGGACAAACCAGAACUUUCCUCAGGCAGAAGGACUAGGCACUGAUCCUGGUCUUGUUUUUGAUAAAGCCCUGGAAUGUUUUAAAGAUAAAUAUGUAAGUAUAUAGUAAUAUACACUCAUUCGGACUGAUUGUCUGAGAGUUCUGUUUUGCUUGAUAGGGUGUGACCAUCGUUGCACUUCGUUUGAGGGCAGAUUUGUAAAUUUGCACAAUAUUUUAACAGAUAUACAACAGUUGUGAUGAAGCCUACAAGCUCACAGAAAAUGGAGAGUCGCACGUGCUGCCUGAAUACACUGAUCAAUAAGGGUUGUGCCUGACGGAGACUCACCAUGUGCUCGACUGCAUCGAUGGGAUCUUGGAACAUUUCAUGUUCUACAACAGAGCUACUUUAAAGGAUGUAUGAGAAACAAUCGAGACUGGGUGUUGCUAUGGUCCUAAAAGAGGCGACUUCAACGUGGAAGAGCAUAUUGAAGCUGAUGAUCCUGUUGCAAACAAGAAGGUUCCCAGGCUUGGCUUCUAUGCAUCUCUGCUGACAAUCAUCUUGUGGCAUUUGCUGUUCUAACAUCCUUUGUUUUAAGAAACUAUGUGUGAUUUGUAUGUCAAGACAAUGUUUGAUGAGACAUUUGUGGAAA
RNA transcript from Sesamum indicum (sesame), 2559 nucleotides. It is a transcript of the gene named acetate--CoA ligase CCL3, with no coding region annotated. The record is from RefSeq and is a predicted model, not a curated record. NCBI's taxonomy places the organism in Eukaryota, Viridiplantae, Streptophyta, Magnoliopsida, Lamiales, Pedaliaceae.